This 479-nucleotide ribosomal RNA is filed under the name uncultured bacterium. Its description in RNAcentral is "bacterial SSU rRNA". It matches the Rfam family "Bacterial small subunit ribosomal RNA", at positions 58 to 520 of the family's 1533-position model. The record is from RNAcentral.
CAAGUCGAACGGCAGCACGGGAGCUUGCUUCUGGUGGCGAGUGGCGAACGGGUGAGUAAUGUAUCGGAACGUACCCAGUCGUGGGGGAUAACUCUCCGAAAGGAGAGCUAAUACCGCAUACGUCCUGAGGGGGAAAGCGGGGGACCUAAGGGUAACUGAGGGCCUCGCGCGAUUGGAGCGGCCGAUAUCGGAUUAGCUAGUUGGUGGGGUAAAGGCUCACCAAGGCGACGAUCCGUAGCGGGUCUGAGAGGACGACCCGCCACACUGGAACUGAGACACGGUCCAGACUCCUACGGGAGGCAGCAGUGGGGAAUUUUGGACAAUGGGGGCAACCCUGAUCCAGCCAUUCCGCGUGAGUGAAGAAGGCCUUCGGGUUGUAAAGCUCUUUCAGCAGGAGCGAAACGGUCGUUUUUAAUACAGACGGCUAAUGACGGUACCUGCAGAAGAAGCACCGGCUAACUCCGUGCCAGCAGCCGCGG